Molecule: ribosomal RNA, 497 nt
Filed under: uncultured bacterium
Lineage: Bacteria
Description: partial 16S ribosomal RNA
Rfam family: Bacterial small subunit ribosomal RNA
Source: RNAcentral
GAUGAACGCUGGCGGCGUGCCUAAUACAUGCAAGUCGAGCGAACGGACGAGAAGCUUGCUUCUCUGAUGUUAGCGGCAGACGGGUGAGUAACACGUGGAUACCCUACCUAUAAGUCUGGGAUAACUUCGGGACACCGGAGCUAAUACCGGAUAAUCUUUUGAACCGCAUGGUUCAAAAGUGAAAGACGGUCUUGCUGUCACUUAUAGAUGGAUCCGCGCUGCAUUGGCUAGUUGGUAAGGUAACGGCUUACGAAGGCUACGAUGCGUGACCGACCUGAGAGAGUGGUAGGCCACCCGAGAGCGGAGACACGGACAAUAGGACUGAGGGACGGAGCAGUAGGGAACGGGACGCAGUGGGCGAAAGCCUGACGGAGUAGGGCCGAGCGAGUGAUGGAGGUGUUGGGUGCGUGAAACUCUGUUAUGAGGGAAGAACAUAUGUGGAAGGAACUGUGCACAUCGUGACGGUACCUGAUCAGGAAGCCCCGGCUAACUACGUG